CCCUACGGGGCGCAGCCGUAGGGAAUAUUGCUCAAUGGGGGAAACCCUGAAGCAGCAACGCCGCGUGGAGGAUGAAGGUUUUCGGAUUGUAAACUCCUUUUGUUAGAGAAGAUAAUGACGGUAUCUAACGAAUAAGCACCGGCUAACUCCGUGCCAGCAGCCGCGGUAAUACGGAGGGUGCAAGCGUUACUCGGACUCACUGGGCGUAAAGAGCGCGUAGGCGGGAUAGCAAGUCAGAUGUGAAAUCCUAUGGCUUAACCAUAGAACUGCAUUUGAAACUGUUAUUCAAGAUUAUGUGAGAGGUA
Molecule: ribosomal RNA, 305 nt
Filed under: uncultured bacterium
Lineage: Bacteria
Description: bacterial SSU rRNA
Rfam family: Bacterial small subunit ribosomal RNA
Source: RNAcentral